This 228-nucleotide ribosomal RNA is filed under the name uncultured bacterium. RNAcentral's name for it is "partial 16S ribosomal RNA". It matches the Rfam family "Bacterial small subunit ribosomal RNA", at positions 109 to 334 of the family's 1533-position model. The record is from RNAcentral.
AGUAACGCGUGGUCAACCUUCCCUACAGUGGGGGAUAACUAGCCGAAAGGUUAGCUAAUACCGCAUGACAUCUUCGAGAGGCAUCUUUUGAAGAUAAAAGGAGCAAUCCGCUGAAGGACGGGACCGCGUCCCAUUAGCUAGUUGGUGGGGGUAAUGGCCUACCAAGGCAACGAUGGGUAGCUGGUUUGAGAGAGCGACCAGCCACACUGGGACUGAGACACGGCCCAG